This is a long non-coding RNA of Helicoverpa zea (corn earworm), 422 nucleotides long. RefSeq lists it as uncharacterized. The transcript is spliced from 2 exons. The record is from RefSeq and is a predicted model, not a curated record. NCBI's taxonomy places the organism in Eukaryota, Metazoa, Arthropoda, Insecta, Lepidoptera, Noctuidae.
GACCAUGUCGUUUCAUUUUCAUAGAUCCAUCUGACGCGGGUGUCAAAAUCGCUCUGAUUUGCUAUUUUGGGCUAUGCAAAGUCUGCAGUGCAUUUCAGUGUGGCAAGCUUUUUGUUCGGAACGUUCUAUCUAGUACGUAGUACAUAUAUAUCGAUGCUUAAAUCGGCCCUGUUUGCCCAUAAUAUGUGAAUCUCUUUUUAAAAAGAGGGGCUGCCUCCACGAGCGAGAGAAUCGCGACGAGUCCGCCCUUAUAUCGUCGCACGAACGAGCGAUAAUUCCGCCGCGUAUCGUCGCGAGUCGUCGUCGUCUUCGAUGCGCUUCGACUCUGCGCUAGUAUAAAUCGACCCUUGCCUAAAGUUGUAACAGUGUUACUAAAAUUGUAAUAAACACAAAUGCUUGAACAAUAAACGUUUACUUACCUA